RNA transcript from Nelumbo nucifera (sacred lotus), 620 nucleotides. It is a transcript of the gene named sm-like protein LSM3A, with no coding region annotated. Lineage: Eukaryota; Viridiplantae; Streptophyta; Magnoliopsida; Proteales; Nelumbonaceae. The record is from RefSeq and is a predicted model, not a curated record.
UUGAGAGUAAGAGAACAAAGAAAAGGAGGGAAGGAAUGGCGACCGAAGAAGAAAGCGCGGUCAAAGAGCCUCUCGAUCUUAUUAGACUCAGCCUCGACGAGAGAAUCUACGUUAAGCUUCGCUCCGACAGAGAGCUCAGAGGAAAACUGCACGCAUACGACCAGCACCUGAAUAUGAUACUAGGAGAUGUUGAAGAAAUCAUCACUACAGUAGAAAUUGAUGAUGAAACUUAUGAAGAGAUUGUUCGGACAACAAGGCGCACAGUACCAUUUCUUUUUGUGAGAGGGGAUGGUGUAAUAUUAGUUUCUCCCCCGUUAAGGACUGCUUGAUAUUGAUACAGAGGAGCACAUAUUAGGAUAUUUUUAGUUGGAGAUCCUCCCAAAAACUAUUUUCAUGUUAAGGGCUGAAGGACGAUGUGGCAUUUUAUCUGGUAAUAUUUUGGUAGGAAAUGGGGGUUCUUGUAUUUGUAGAAAGAAUCUAUACUAGGGACAGCAAAAAUGAGGGAAAAAAAUGAAGCUCCAGCACCUAGACGAACUGUUAGUAGUAGUAGUGGGUCCUGAUCCUUUUGGAAUCAGACUGAGCUACUAGGGACUUAGAAUUUGAGAAUAUAUUAAUCUAUU